UAUAUGGGGUUUGUUAACGCGUAUAUGCCUGUUUUUGAGUUGAUACAUUUUAACAAUAUGUACCGAAUUAUAGUAAAGAGAAAUACCCUCAUAUAUUAUGGAUUCUAAGUUUUAAAGUUAAGGAUAUUUAAAUAAUUUUCAUUCUCAAAACUAAAAAAAAAAACAAAGAAACCUCUCAAACCCUUACUCACCUCUCUCAUUCCUCUCAAUCAUUUCUCUUUCAUCUAUCUCACUUCAACCUUUUCUCUGUUAUCUCUAGCCCCAAUUAAAAAAAAUAAAAAAUGUUAAGCAAUUUCUUACAAAAAUAAUAAUU
Molecule: long non-coding RNA, 313 nt
Filed under: Vigna radiata
Lineage: Eukaryota; Viridiplantae; Streptophyta; Magnoliopsida; Fabales; Fabaceae
Description: long non-coding RNA (VRAD_LNC003272)
Source: RNAcentral